Molecule: long non-coding RNA, 175 nt
Organism: Pocillopora damicornis (cauliflower coral)
Lineage: Eukaryota; Metazoa; Cnidaria; Anthozoa; Scleractinia; Pocilloporidae
Source: RefSeq, a predicted model, not a curated record
AAUGGAACACAGCAAAUUCAGUGUGGAAAGUCUGUUUUGAAGGACAGUUGUUCCUGCCGCGACGGUAGAGACGGCAGAGAUGGCCAAAACGGAAAAGUAGGCCGCGAUGGACGCGACGGGAAAAUGGGAGCAAAGGUUGGUGUAAAGAUAUGACCAAAGAAAUUAAUGACAAAAA